RNAcentral lists this ribosomal RNA (917 nucleotides) under Triticum aestivum (bread wheat). RNAcentral describes it as "partial small subunit ribosomal RNA". The record is from RNAcentral. Lineage: Eukaryota; Viridiplantae; Streptophyta; Magnoliopsida; Poales; Poaceae.
UGUAGCUCUGUUGGUUGGGUCGGGUCGCUUGUCGGAGGUAGCAAGGGAAUAAAAGAGGAGACGGAGGGCGCUUGGGAGCGGCGGAGGUGGUUGCGGCCCGCUAAGGCCGAUGAAGGCCGUCGGGAGCGGCUUCGCGUCGUGUGGGUGCUCGAGAGGAGCGCUGCCAAGAAGGAAGGGAGACCGUUUUAGACGAGGAGCGCCGUCGUUCGCGAGCGCGUGCUGGGGAGAAGCGCCGAUCCCAAAGCCGACGCAAGUUGAGGCCGCGCCAAACGAUGAAUUAAAAGUUUUUUAGUACGCAAACAUAGUGGUAGGAUACCUUGGUGCUUCGGCCUAGGUUACUAAAGUCUCUUGUAAAUGAUACAAAUACCUAGUGAUGUACACUAGACGAUCUUGUUCGAUGGCUUCGUGAUCUUGACGAGAGAAACUACCGUAACUUCUUUCACCUUAUGCUCGUGGCCGAAUAAGAAGUGCACUCUAUCUACUUGUACUCUUACUCGUUCGAUACCUAGCUAACAUCUCUAGCUCAGUCGUAAGAGUUCUCCCCUUGUGUACCUGUGCUUCGACGCCGCCGCUGCUACUACUAUAGUUGUACCCCGACGUCGCCGCUGCUACUGCUGCUGCUCUAGCUGUAGCAGUGCCCCGACGCCGCCGCCGCUGCUACUGCUGCUGUUCUAGCUGUAGCAGUGCCCCGACGCCGCCGCUGCUGCUGCUGCCGUAGGAGUGCCACUACGCCGCCGCCGCUACUACUGCUGUAGUUGUGGUAGUUUGUGCCCGAACACCUCCGCGGCCGCUACUACUGGAUAUCCACACCACAUAUAACAUAUAUAUAUAUUUAUACAUACAUAAUUAAUAGAUAUCAUCUACACAUACUAACUGACAUACGUAUUUUACACGCAUAAUAUUUUACGUACAUACAC